AGUGAACGCUGGCGGUAGGCCUAACACAUGCAAGUCGAACGGCAGCACAGUAAGAGCUUGCUCUUACGGGUGGCGAGUGGCGGACGAGUGAGGAAUACAUCGGAAUCUACUUUUUCGUGGGGGAUAACGUAGGGAAACUUACGCUAAUACCGCAUACGACCUACGGGUGAAAGCAGGGGAUCUUCGGACCUUGCGCGAUUGAAUGAGCUGAUGUCGGAUUAGCUAGUUGGCGGGGUAAAGGCCCACCAAGGCGACGAUCCGUAGCUGGUCUGAGAGGAUGAUCAGCCACACUGGAACUGAGACACGGUCCAGACUCCUACGGGAGGCAGCAGUGGGGAAUAUUGGACAAUGGGCGCAAGCCUGAUCCAGCCAUACCGCGUGGGUGAAGAAGGCCUUCGGGUUGUAAAGCCCUUUUGUUGGGAAAGAAAAGCAGCAGGUUAAUACCCCGCUGUUCUGACGGUACCCAAAGAAUAAGCACCGGCUAACUUCGUG
This 492-nucleotide ribosomal RNA is filed under the name uncultured bacterium. Its description in RNAcentral is "partial 16S ribosomal RNA". It matches the Rfam family "Bacterial small subunit ribosomal RNA", at positions 29 to 507 of the family's 1533-position model. The record is from RNAcentral.